AAAUUGAAGAGUUUGAUCAUGGCUCAGAUUGAACGCUGGCGGCAGGCCUAACACAUGCAAGUCGAACGGUAACAGAAAGCAGCUUGCUGCUUUGCUGACGAGUGGCGGACGGGUGAGUAAUGUCUGGGAAACUGCCCGAUGGAGGGGGAUAACUACUGGAAACGGUAGCUAAUACCGCAUAACGUCGCAAGACCAAAGAGGGGGACCUUCGGGCCUCUUGCCAUCGGAUGUGCCCAGAUGGGAUUAGCUAGUAGGUGGGGUAACGGCUCACCUAGGCGACGAUCCCUAGCUGGUCUGAGAGGAUGACCAGCCACACUGGAACUGAGACACGGUCCAGACUCCUACGGGAGGCAGCAGUGGGGAAUAUUGCACAAUGGGCGCAAGCCUGAUGCAGCCAUGCCGCGUGUAUGAAGAAGGCCUUCGGGUUGUAAAGUACUUUCAGCGGGGAGGAAGGGAGUAAAGUUAAUAC
RNAcentral lists this ribosomal RNA (469 nucleotides) under Escherichia coli. RNAcentral describes it as "bacterial SSU rRNA". It matches the Rfam family "Bacterial small subunit ribosomal RNA", at positions 1 to 466 of the family's 1533-position model. Lineage: Bacteria; Pseudomonadati; Pseudomonadota; Gammaproteobacteria; Enterobacterales; Enterobacteriaceae. The record is from RNAcentral.